Sinocyclocheilus grahami is the source of this 380-nucleotide long non-coding RNA. RefSeq lists it as uncharacterized. NCBI's taxonomy places the organism in Eukaryota, Metazoa, Chordata, Actinopteri, Cypriniformes, Cyprinidae. The transcript is spliced from 3 exons. The record is from RefSeq and is a predicted model, not a curated record.
ACUUUUACAUCCUUUACGACAUGUUUAUGUAGUUUGCGGUAAGUGCGACGCCUGGAGAGGAUAUUUUCACCGUGACGUUCCUCAGAGAAAGAUUAUUAAAGACUAACGAUCAAUAAAUGCUGAUUAAUCAGCUGAUGUUGAGGGCAGCAGCACACUGCGGGAGAUGGACAGCUGUCAAUCAAAGCAUCCGGACGAGCUCGGGUAUGGCUGAGUUUCGUGAGAUCUUCUCAAAGGCCCGACACAUUGCCAUCAUCACAGGAGCAGGAGUCAGUGCGGAGAGCGGCGUACCCUCCAUCAGAGGAGCUGAGGGACGCUGGAGGACCUGGAAAACACAGGUCACUCACACACUCUCACACACACACUCACUCACUCGAUCACAC